RNAcentral lists this long non-coding RNA (5635 nucleotides) under Gallus gallus (chicken). The record is from RNAcentral. Lineage: Eukaryota; Metazoa; Chordata; Aves; Galliformes; Phasianidae.
GGGCUGUGCAGUUUUCAGGAGAUGCCCGACGUUGCCAAGAAAUAAUAAUAAAGAGAGAAAGAAAGAAAAAGCAGCAGAAAGGCGAAGGCGAAGGAGCAGCCGCAGCCCCGCUCCUGGCAGCCCGCGGACGGAGCCGGUGCCGCGCUGUGUGCGGAGCAGCGAGCUCUAAUCUGUUCCUCUGGCUGACCCAGGGCUCAUUGCAUCUGAAUGUGACCUCUAGACAGAGCAUUAAUAACGAACGUGGCGCUGACCCAAGCUGACAAGGGGUGCGGCCGCUUGGCACCGGCUCCCUCCCUCCCUCUCUCACUUUCUGUCUCCCUCACUCUCAUCUGAAUGUCGGCGCAGGGGGAGGGAUCCAGGAAAACAAAGCUGGGCUCAUAGUUUCCUCCGCUCCAAAGUGAAUCGAAGGCGCGUUUCUUUGGGGAGGCGCGAGCCCGGCGCGGUGCGGUGCCCCGUACCCACGGAGAGGUUGGGGACGAGCGCCGGCAGCGCGUGGGCAUCGGCGGCAGCACGCAGGGCGGGCGCAGCCCCUGCCCCGACGGAUGGAUGGAGGACGCGGCGCAGUGGGAGGUUGGGAGCCGCGGUCGUGCGAUGGGCGCGAUGCUCCGGUAUCCAGAGCAGCGCCCGGCCUCUCUCGCACCCGGAGCGGAGGGACGGAGGCGCUUUUGGCACGGCCGAAACGCGCCAUAACCCAGCCCUGGAGAACCGCUGGCACCGCGCAGCCCGCGGUGCUGCGAACGCUGUCGGCAGCGCUGACGGCGGCUCCACGCACCGCCCUCCCCUGCUGCCACGCGUGGGAGACCGCGGCACAAAGAGUUUCACGGGCAGAAUGGGACUGGGAAAAAAAGAAUGGCUCAGGCUGGUCCAAAAUUCAUCUUACGUUCUGCGCUGCUUUGGAAAUCAGCCUUCAAAAAAAAAAAAUAAAACCCAACCAACCUUCUGUAUCCAAGGAAAUACUGUGCAUCCGCCCAAAAGGAACUACUGAGGAGUUUUCAUGGGUUAUUUAACUCUCUGACAUUGGCUUCUCACGUUCUGAAUUAAACACCGAAAGGCUCCCAUGAGAGCACGCACACGGCCAGCACACCGGGCCCCGCGUCACCGUGAGCCUCAGCCCUUCCAAAAGCCCCUUCCUCCGCUGCUCCAUGCUCACAAUGACAGAAAGCAAACUCACAGCACCUCCCACACUGCCCUGCCUGCACGGGAUGCGCCCACACGGUACCACCGGCAGCACCGGGCCGCCCAGUCCUGCCCCUCAGUGCCAGCAGAAGGAGGAAUGGUGCAGGGAGCACCGUGUAGCUCUGUCCUUUGUGCCAGGAGCACACGGCCUCGGCACGGCCUGGGAGGAACUCAGAUGAGCAAGAAGCUGCCAUCGGCACGUGACCACUUUUGGGAAUGCAAAACCACUUGUUAGAGGCUGGCAGUGGGGGAAAACCCAGAGCUGGGGCGAGAACAGAUAGCGGGCUUAAAGAGUAACGAAGGUCACGCAGAAACCUUCCGGUUCAUCGAGUUCAGCUCCACUGCUGCUGUGUGGCACAGCCCCGGUGGGGCACGGAGCAGUCCUCCCCUGCCUGCCUCCAGCUCCUGGGUGCUUGGGAUCCCCCAGAUGCCCAGACAUUGCCUUGUACAGAGCAGUACUCAGCUCAGCCAGGCCCAAAAUGCAACGGGGACCAGUGCUGAGCAGCUUGGUUAGCCAAAACCUCCUGCUUUUACCUGUAAUCACAGCCCCUGUGCAACAAGGCAGCAUCAGAAAAACAUGCUACCCCAUAAUUAUACCCAUCUCGGCACAUUUUGACAGACGAGUGAAUCAAAGUUUAUUGCAUAAUAAAAGUGUCAUUAAGCAAGAACUUUCCUCUCGCUAGGUUUUCGUUCCCCUAGUUAACUUUAAUAACACGCUACUCCCCUUUAUUGUCUCUCCCUGCAGACACACUCCUGCCCUCUCCUACUUGGAAGCGCUCUGUGCAGCUCUGCUCUCUCCCCACAAGGCUGCUGGCCCUGCUGCCAGCUCCCCAGCACGGGGCGGGUGCCGGAACACCACCAACGAUCAGCACGCAGCAAAUCCCUGCCCCAUUGUGGUCCCCAGGCCCAGCUUACAGGAGCAGGAACGUGUUCACACACUUCGUAUUUCACUGCUUUUAGGACUCCUUCAGUGCACAUCCAGCAUCAAACACCGAGAGGCACUUUUCUUGCAACCAGAUGCAAUCUCCAAAACAAAGGUCCCUGCGGCAGCGCUCCCCUCCUGGCACCUGCUCACCCCGCGCCUGGCACCGGGCCAUGCUGCCUGAUUAACGUCUAUCCAUUCAGGCUGCAUCUCUGGAGAGCAGCGAGCAGCAACACACAGGAUUGGCACUGGGCUGCAAAGAGGGCUGGAAUGGUUUAAGGCAAGCGAGCCAAGCGCUUCGGGACAUGCAGAGGCAAAGGAAUCCAAGUGCACGGCUCCACCAGCACCUGGGAGCUCUGGAACGUGCCACCAGCAUCCCUGCAGCAGGUGCACUGCCCAAACAGGGCCGUCCCCACACAGCACUCAUUUCCAUUUCAAUUUUACGCUUACAGCCCUCCUGGACCAGGGGGAGCAGCAGUGAGACAGGCAGGACGCACAGCCGGCAACUCAGCAGCAGAGCAAUGGGACGGGACUUUGGGCAAACGGACGGCGAGCACCGGCACUGCGAGGGGAAGCGCAGGCAGGGCAGUGCCACGCUCAGCACUUCUACAGAUGGCCCCAGCGAAGGUUCUGAAUACCAAUACCUCAGCCCAGGAUACCAAGCACCUGUGCCAGGGCUCAGCACCCACAAGGAUGGAGCUUCGGAGAGUGGUGUGGAGCCGUGCCCAGCACCAUGCACACCUGGAACGUCCAGUGGAGCGUCCUCCUUGCUCCCAUGCUGCCAUCCUGGGGAUCAGAACAGCUCCCGGAGCCCACAUGGCACCACCUGACACCCCUCUCACUUCCCCCCAACCCCUCAGCACCACGCAAGGAAAAAAGAAAGUGGCUUCUUACCCUUCUUGGCCGUUUCCAUCUCCUCUUCAGUCCAGCGAGAGCUUUCAUUCAUUUCCAGAGAGGCUGGGAGAGGAAGGAGAGAAGAGCGGUCAGAGGGAUGGGCUGAGUGAGCCCACACCAGCCCCGUGGGCACCGCAUCCCAAACCUACCCCAUGGACACCCCGUUCUAAACCAAACCACACAGACAUCCCAAACUGAUAGGGUGGGCACCGUGUCCCAAACCCCUCCGCAGACGCCAUGCCCCCGGCCCGCUCGCAGGAGGUGCACCGCAGCCCACGUGCAGCGCCCUCCCGGGAUGGAUGGCAGUGACGCACAGCUCCGCGUUGGUUUCUUUGGGGCUGGAAGCACAGCCAGAUGGAGGCACCAUAUUUCCUGCUGAACGGGCGCCAUGCUCUCUGGCCCGCCAACAACAGGUAGCUAAGCCGGAGCCGACACCGGCUGUGUGCUUUGGAGGUGGCAGACGUGGGGUGGGACCAUCACCCUCAGCAGAGACGGAGAAACAGCGUCACCCUGGCGACUCGGGCACGCCAACCGCAUCUGCCAAGGGAGCCGGCCCUGCUGACAGUGGCUGCUGAGGACAGCAACCCUGUCACCACGCUCUGGGACACCCCAGAGCCACAUCUGGGGGAAACCAACCCAGGGAUGUGCAGUAGCAGAGGGCAAUGGUCAGAGCAGGGGGUGGCUGUCACCACACCAUGCCUGGUGUGGGGACCCCGGGGUCCUGUGUGCAGCACUGCACACCCGUCCCGCUGGCAGCCUGGCACUAGAGCAAACCCUACAACAACAAGCCAGGCUGUGAGUCAGAGGCAAAAAAACAACGCGGUAAGGAAACAGAUUUCCGGUUCAGGCUGCCAAUGGGUUAUUACACUGAACAACAGGCGAAGCAUUAUUUCAACAGUGAUGAGAGAUGUUUUGACAGUGUCCUUUUAGAAUGGAAAACAGGCUGAUAGGUUAGGUUGGAGGAUGCAGACAAGGAGAGGAGCGACUUCCAGGGGCUGAACCUGGCAGGAGGACAUAUUGGUGUGUGAGACAGAGGAAUCCCCUUCCCAAACUACGGGGCACAGCUGCAGGUACCACCCGAGCAGGGCACUUCCUCCAGCCCCACAGCACAGGGAAAUGGAGACCUCCCGGCUAUCCCUGGACCGGGCACAGGCGGGGCUGCAGCUCUCACUUCCUUGUAGCUGGGUGUCCCCAGUGCUCUCAUUUACCUGAAGCCGUGUGUCACAAGGCUCUGAGAUGGCUGUUACUGCACGGCAAGGAGCCGUCAGAGCGAUGGCCCGUUUGCUUUGACUAACGAUAUUUACUGAGGUUGCGCAGUUAUGUAACAGAUGCCUACUGGGAGCUCCGGCACACUGCAGUUAAACCACAGUAUGGUUUCGUGUUGUUUUUUAAUGUUCAAUCAGCAUUUAAAACGCAAUAACUUCCUUCGCCAACCUAAAUUAAAGCACGAUUGGAGACAAAAAGAAUAACCAAUUGCUCAGAUCUGCCACUAGAAUCCGUCCACUUCCUUUUCCCAAUCUAACACGGUCUGAAGCCUUUCCUCCCCUCUCACGUGGCUCCAGGAUACCAGGAUGAAAAAUCCCAUCUGAGUUACUGGCGUUAUCUGCUGUUCUCUGCAGCUCUGCUGAACAAGUUUGAGACGGAGCGCAGGGCUCCGCUGUGCCGGGAACUAUUUAUAUCGGCGGUACGAGAGCAGCGCCCGCCAUCAGGCUUCAGCCAGUUGUCAGCAGAGAACAGGGAGCGAAACACCUCCGGGUGAUUUAUAGCACAUGGAACAGAGCGAGCAAGGAACUGCGGGGAAAGGAAACCGAGAGGAGUCACCCUGCUUUAUUUUCACUUGCCUCAGGUGGUGCGGUCAUAAUUUUGUACUUGACGGAGUACAAAACAUUGGAAAAUCAGCCAAAUCCUUCAUUUAUUUGCUGCUCUAAGUCGGUUUCCAUGGGUAACCGCUAUCAGGGCUGCAAACGCACGCGAUGCGUGGCAGAUGCACACGAGUGGGGCUGCGUAUGGUACCGUGAAUUCCUGCCUACCCCGGGCGGCCCUCGGAUGGGGCAGAAGAGCACUGGGGACAAACAGGGCAGAUCAGGGAACCGAGCGGGGAAAUGCUGCUCUGAGUGCAAGGCUGGGCUGCACGGCACGGCCGCAGCCGGGGCGCUGGCUCCCAGCACACAGCAGUGCAGCACCACGUGCUCUCCCCGCUCCGCGCACCCCCAGCUACGCACCCAGCUCGGCGCUCUGCUGCGGCGUGGCCGCCUCCUCGCUGUUGGCUUCGUUGGCCAUGGAGCGCGUGAUGCGGCCCUUGCGCCGGCCCUGGCUGUUGGCGGUUUUGCGGCCUUUGGAGGUGACGGUUUCCUUCUCAUCGUUGUCUUCCCCGGACGUGUCGUCGUUCUUGUCCUUUGUCAGUUCUUCUUUGUCAUUUUCUGUUUCCUGUUUGUCUUCCUCUUUGUCUCCCUCCUUCUCCUUUUCUUUCUCUUUUUCAUCUUUCUCUUCUUGGCUGCUCCGGGGCAUUUGCUGCUGCUGCUGGCUUUUCCCACGCCGCCGGUAAUUCCUCCUCACGAGGUUCUUGUAGUUCUCAUUCUUCUUGGUCAGGUAGUAGUACAGGACGCAGUCUGCCACCGUCUUCCUGUCCAGAAAGGAGGCAAU